CCUACGGGUGGCAGCAGUGGGGAAUAUUGCGCAAUGGGCGAAAGCCUGACGCAGCGACGCCGCGUGAGGGAUGAAGGUCUUCGGAUCGUAAACCUCUGUCAGCAGGGAAGAACGGUCACUGUGCUAAUCAGCAGUGCAUUGACGGUACCUGCAAAGGAAGCACCGGCUAACUCCGUGCCAGCAGCCGCGGUAAUACGGAGGGUGCGAGCGUUAAUCGGAAUUACUGGGCGUAAAGCGCUCGUAGGCGGUAUGUUAAGUCAAGGGUGAAAUCCCCGCGCUCAACGUGGGAACUGCAUUUGAUACUGGCAAACUAGAGUGUGGUAGAGGAUAGUGGAAUUCCAGGUGUAGGAGUGAAAUCCGUAGAGAUCUGGAGGAACAUCAGUGGCGAAGGCGACUAACUGGCACAUAACUGACGCUGAGGAGCGAAAGCGUGGGUAGCAAACAGGAUUAGAUACCCGGGUAGUC
Molecule: ribosomal RNA, 465 nt
Filed under: uncultured bacterium
Lineage: Bacteria
Description: partial 16S ribosomal RNA
Rfam family: Bacterial small subunit ribosomal RNA
Source: RNAcentral